UUGUAGCUCAAUGGUAGAGUUUCCGACUGCUGUGCGGAAGGUCACAGCUUUGACUCCUGUUGGUAAAA
Desmophyllum pertusum is the source of this 68-nucleotide non-coding RNA. The record is from the annotation of a GenBank genome assembly. NCBI's taxonomy places the organism in Eukaryota, Metazoa, Cnidaria, Anthozoa, Scleractinia, Caryophylliidae.